This 459-nucleotide ribosomal RNA is filed under the name uncultured bacterium. Its description in RNAcentral is "partial 16S ribosomal RNA". It matches the Rfam family "Bacterial small subunit ribosomal RNA", at positions 338 to 795 of the family's 1533-position model. The record is from RNAcentral.
CCUACGGGAGGCUGCAGUGAGGAAUAUUGGUCAAUGGCCGCAGGGCUGAACCAGCCAAGUCGCGUGAGGGAUGACGGUCCUAUGGAUUGUAAACCUCUUUUGUCAGGGAGCAAAGGGCGCCACGUGUGGCGCUUUGCGAGUACCUGAAGAAAAAGCAUCGGCUAACUCCGUGCCAGCAGCCGCGGUAAUACGGAGGAUGCGAGCGUUAUCCGGAUUUAUUGGGUUUAAAGGGUGCGCAGGCGGAAUGUCAAGUCAGCGGUAAAAUUUCGGGGCUCAACCCCGUCGUGCCGUAGAAACUGGCGUUCUUGAGUGAGCGAGAAGUAUGCGGAAUGCGUGGUGUAGCGGUGAAAUGCAUAGAUAUCACGCAGAACUCCGAUUGCGAAGGCAGCAUACCGGCGCUCAACUGACGCUCAUGCACGAAAGCGUGGGUAUCGAACAGGAUUAGAUACCCGGGUAGUC